RNAcentral lists this long non-coding RNA (565 nucleotides) under Brachypodium distachyon (stiff brome). RNAcentral describes it as "long non-coding RNA (BDIS_LNC000970)". Lineage: Eukaryota; Viridiplantae; Streptophyta; Magnoliopsida; Poales; Poaceae. The record is from RNAcentral.
UAGCGAUGAUGUAAGGACAUACUGGCUGAUCGAACAUUAGUAGGCAGUUUAUCCCGCGCUCAAUAAACAACUGGAUAUAUUGUGUACUUGUAUUUGGACCUGUGUAGUGGUUAUGUGUGAUGUGUAUGGAUCCGUCACCGAUGAGAUUGUGUUGGACCUCAGUAGCGGUUAUGCGAUUAUGGAUCCUUCACCUAUGAAAUCAUGUAAGGGCAUUUUUUAUCAGUAAUUUAGUAAUGUUGUCAUGGUUGAGAUAAGUUCAAAUUUCAGAACCAUUGAAUAUGUUCGAUGUUUGCUGUUUGCAGAAGGCCUUUAUUCAGGACUAGCUAGGUUUAUUAGGAGCUGAGAAUUGGUCCAUGUACAUGUAAUGUGAUCAUCUGUACACAGACGCUGCAUGGUAGGAGAAAUGCUGUUAUGUCAUAAAAAUAUCUGGGAUGUGCAAGCCAGCUCCCGGUAACUAAGCCUGGAGUAGCAAAUGGAAUUGAAAUGAAGCAUAGUAGGAAAAUCCAUGCUAUGAAAAUAGCCUGGAGAAGCAAAUGGAAUGGAAAGGCGCAGCUGUCCAUGACGG